ACCAGCCAUNCCGCGNNGCAGGAAGACGGCCUUAUGGGUUUGUAAACUGCUUUUUUAUGGGAGUAACCUCUCGUACGUGUACGAGACUGCAAGUACCAUAAGAAUAAGCAUCGGCUAACUCCNUGCCAGCAGCCGCGGUAAUA
Molecule: ribosomal RNA, 143 nt
Filed under: uncultured bacterium
Lineage: Bacteria
Description: partial 16S ribosomal RNA
Rfam family: Bacterial small subunit ribosomal RNA
Source: RNAcentral